RNAcentral lists this ribosomal RNA (422 nucleotides) under uncultured bacterium. RNAcentral describes it as "bacterial SSU rRNA". It matches the Rfam family "Bacterial small subunit ribosomal RNA", at positions 360 to 773 of the family's 1533-position model. The record is from RNAcentral.
AAUUUUUCGCAAUGGGGGAAACCCUGACGAAGCAACGCCGCGUGGAGGAUGAAGGCCUUCGGGUUGUAAACUCCUGUCGACCGGGACGAAAGUAGUCCGACCCAAUACGUCGGGCUAUCGACUGUACCGGUGGAGGAAGCCACGGCUAACUCUGUGCCAGCAGCCGCGGUAAUACAGAGGUGGCAAGCGUUGUUCGGAAUCACUGGGCGUAAAGGGCGCGUAGGUGGUCCUUUAAGCGUGUGGUGAAAGCUCGGGGCUCAACCUCGAGUCGGCCAUGCGAACUGGGGGACUGGAGCACUGUAGAGGCAGGUGGAAUUCCGGGUGUAGCGGUGGAAUGCGUAGAGAUCCGGAAGAACACCGGUGGCGAAGGCGGCCUGCUGGGCAGUUGCUGACACUGAGGCGCGACAGCGUGGGGAGCAAAC